RNAcentral lists this ribosomal RNA (382 nucleotides) under uncultured eukaryote. RNAcentral's name for it is "partial 18S ribosomal RNA". It matches the Rfam family "Eukaryotic small subunit ribosomal RNA", at positions 592 to 976 of the family's 1831-position model. The record is from RNAcentral.
UGUAAGCGUAUACCAAAGUUGUUGCAGUUAAAACGCUCGUAGUCGGAAUUUGGCAGUUCCGGAUGUGUGCACGUCGUGUGCGCACUUCGCGGGGAUUGCUUUUGUGGCCUUGCGUAGGAUGAGGCACUUUUAUUAGUGAACGUCCUCACGCAACCACUUUUUACUGUGAGAAAAUCAGAGUGCUCAAAGCAGGCAUUUGCCGUGAAUGUAUUAGCAUGGAAUAAUAGAAUAGGACUUGGUUCUAUUUUGUUGGUUUGUUGGGACUGAGUAAUGAUUAAGAGGGACAGUUGGGGGCAUUUGUAUUUCGGUGCUAGAGGUGAAAUUCUUAGAUUGCCGAACGACAAACUGCUGCGAAAGCGUCUGCCAAGGAUGUUUUCAUUGA